GCCAAAUUCCGUAGUGCAUUAACAUGUAAGUCGAGCGAACUGAUUAGAAACUUGCUUCUAUGACGUUAGCGGCGGACGGGUGAGUAACACGUGGGCAACCUGCCUGUAAGACUGGGAUAACUCCGGGAAACCGGAGCUUAUACCGGAUAACAUUUUCUCUUGCAUAAGAAAAAAUUGAAGGAUGGUUUCGGCUAUGACUUACGGAUGGGCCCGCGGUGCAUUAGCUAGUUGGUGAGGUAACGGCUCACCAAGGCAACGAUGCAGAGCCAACCUGAGAGGGUGAUCGGCCACACUGGGACUGAGACACGGCCCAAACUCCUACGGGAGGCAGCAGUAGGGAAUCUUCCGCAAUGGACGAAAGUCUGACGGAGCAACGCCGCGUGAGUGAUGAAGGCUUUCGGGUCGUAAAACUCUGUUGUUAGGGAAGAACAAGUACAAGAGUAACUGCUUGUACCUUGACGGUACCUAACCAGAAAGCCACGGCUAACUACGUGCCAGCAGCCGCGGUAAUACGUAGGUGGCAAGCGUUAUCCGGAAUUAUUGGGCGUAAAGCGCGCGCAGGCGGUUUCUUAAGUCUGAUGUGAAAGCCCACGGCUCAACCGUGGAGGGUCAUUGGAAACUGGGGAACUUGAGUGCAGAAGAGAAAAGCGGAAUUCCACGUGUAGCGGUGAAAUGCGUAGAGAUGUGGAGGAACACCAGUGGCGAAGGCGGCUUUUUGGUCUGUAACUGACGCUGAGGCGCGAAAGCGUGGGGAGCAAACAGGAUUAGAUACCCUGGUAGUCCACGCCGUAAACGAUGAGUGCUAAGUGUUAGAGGGUUUCCGCCCUUUAGUGCUGCAGCUAACGCAUUAAGCACUCCGCCUGGGGAGUACGGUCGCAAGACUGAAACUCAAAGGAAUUGACGGGGGCCCGCACCAGCGGUGGAGCAUGUGGUUUAAUUUGAAGCAACGCGAAGAACCUUACCAGGUCUUGACAUCCUCUGACAACUCUAGAGAUAGAGCGUUCCCCUUCGGGGGACAGAGUGACAGGUGGUGCAUGGUUGUCGUCAGCUCGUGUCGUGAGAUGUUGGGUUAAGUCCCGCAACGAGCGCAACCCUUGAUGUUAGUUGCCAGCAUUAAGUUGGGCACUAUAAGGUGACUGCCGGUGACAAACCGGAGGAAGGUGGGGAUGACGUCAAAUCAUCAUGCCCCUUAUGACCUGGGCUACACACGUGCUACAAUGGAUGGUACAAAGGGCUGCAAGACCGCGAGGUCAAGCCAAUCCCAUAAAACCAUUCUCAGUUCGGAUUGUAGGCUGCAACUCGCCUACAUGAAGCUGGAAUCGCUUGUAAUCGCGGAUCAGCAUGCCGCGGUGAAUACGUACCCGGGCCUUGUACACACCGCCCGUCACACCACGAGAGUUUGUAACACCCGAAGUCGGUGGGGUAACCUUUAUGGAGCCAGCCGCCUAAGGUGGGACAGAGGAUAGGGGGAAGUCGUAAUCAACGACCU
Molecule: ribosomal RNA, 1489 nt
Filed under: Bacillus pumilus
Lineage: Bacteria; Bacillati; Bacillota; Bacilli; Caryophanales; Bacillaceae
Description: bacterial SSU rRNA
Rfam family: Bacterial small subunit ribosomal RNA
Source: RNAcentral